RNAcentral lists this ribosomal RNA (465 nucleotides) under uncultured bacterium. Its description in RNAcentral is "partial 16S ribosomal RNA". It matches the Rfam family "Bacterial small subunit ribosomal RNA", at positions 28 to 507 of the family's 1533-position model. The record is from RNAcentral.
GACGAACGCUGGCGGCGUGCUUAACACAUGCAAGUCGAACGGAAAGGCCCUGCUUGCAGGGUAUUCGAGUGGCGAACGGGUGAGUAACACGUGGGUGAUCCGCCCUGCACUUUGGGGUAAGCCUGGGAAACGGGGUCUAAUACCGGAUAGGAGCCAUUUCCAGUGUGAGGGUGGGAAAGUUUUUUCGGUGUAGGGUGAGCUCGCGGCCUAUCAGCUUGUUGGUGGGGUAAUGGCCUACCAAGGCGGCGACGGGUAGCCGGCCUGGGGGGGUGGGCGGCCACCUUGGGACUGAGGGACGGCCCCGACUCCUACGGGAGGCCGAAGGGGGGAAUAUUGCACCAUGGGCGCAAGCCUGAUGCAGCGACCCCGCGUGGGGGAUGGCGGCCUUGGGGUUGUAAAAUCCUUUCGCUAGGGACGAAGCCUUUUGUGACGGUACCUAGAUAAGAAGCACCGGCUAACUACGUG